AUGAUCCCGUCCUUGGUUUCAUUUCCCAGGAUGUCGUCAGUUACCCGGAGUUCUGUUGCUCAUAGCCUGAACCACAGAGAUGGUAGGGAUGAGGAUCCCCCUGAUCAGUCUUCGUUGGCAAAGUUCAUGUUAGAGGUUGAGAUGAACAAGCAUGAGAUCAAUCGUUUGUUGGAACAGAUUGAGCAGAAGACCUCACAUCGGCGUAAUGAGUUGGUUUCCAUUACCGACUUCAUUGGUUUGAACCCACCCACCUUCCAUCAUUCCAUUGAGCCACUCGAUUCCGAUGACUGGCUCCGUAGUAUCACACACAAGCUGCGCUCCAUGAGCAUAGCUGAAGGUGACAAGGUGACCUAUGCUACAUAUCACCUAGAGGGUCCUGCUAGUCUUUGGUGGCAGAACUAUGAGGCUAUGCUUCCAGCUGGUCAGAUUCCUACCUGGAGAGAUUUCACUGAGGCCUUUCGUGAGCAUCACAUUCCUCAAGCCCUCAACGAUCGCAAGAGAGAAGAGUUCUGUAGUCUCACCUAG
This 525-nucleotide ribosomal RNA is filed under the name Triticum aestivum (bread wheat). RNAcentral's name for it is "partial small subunit ribosomal RNA". Lineage: Eukaryota; Viridiplantae; Streptophyta; Magnoliopsida; Poales; Poaceae. The record is from RNAcentral.